UCAACCAUUCAGUUAUGACGAUUCUUCACGUUGUGUCUGGCUUGAAUGCAAUCGUAUCGAAAUGCCUUUCUCCACAUCAACUUGUUAUCUUUUUCAACAACAAAAAAAAGAAAAUUGAAUAUUUUCUGUCCCAAAUGAAAACCUCUAAAUUAAGUCAAACUAAGACCUAGGAGGCUAGCUUUAAAUCCUCACUGGUUGUUGUAAGGGUAAUGGAAAUCAUGUAUGUAAAGCUUUUUGAACUGCAGUGGAACCUUGGUUUUUUAAUGUAAUCCGUUCUGGAAGUCCGUUUGACUUCCGAAACAUUCGAAAACCAAGGCGCAGCUUCCGAUUGGCGCAGGCGCCCUGGAAACAACAGCUGACAACUGCAUCGGACGUUUGGGUUCCGAUAAAUGUUCAAAAACAGGAAGAGUUGAGUACAGUACCAAGGCAUUGGAGAACCAAGGUUCUACUGUACUAUAUAAAUGUUCAGCAUUGUGACUUUGUAUGAUGAACUGGUAUUUCUGUUCCCUCAUUUCACAAGGGGAGGUUUUAACUUCACAUUUGAACUGCUUUCAGGCUGCAGUUCUUAAAUGGAGUUGCCAGGGCAAGAGAGAUAAUUGCUUCCAUCUGUAUUAUAUUACCUCAUGGCAUGAUUCUCAAAAAUGGCAGUCAAACUGGUCUUGUUUGAUUAGGGUAUCGUUUGGCAUUAAAGAUGUUUAAAAUGUAUAGACGGCUCAAAUUGAGAAGUGUAAGAAACUAUUUGGCAGCAAUAGUAAGCAGUACAGAAACUU
Molecule: non-coding RNA, 770 nt
Organism: Zootoca vivipara (common lizard)
Lineage: Eukaryota; Metazoa; Chordata; Lepidosauria; Squamata; Lacertidae
Source: RefSeq, a predicted model, not a curated record